CAGCCGUAAACUAUGCGCGUUAGGUGUACUGGUGACCACGAGUCACCGGGUGCCGAAGGGAAACCGUGAAACGUGCCGCCUGGGAAGUACGGUCGCAAGGCUGAAACUUAAAGGAAUUGGCGGGGGGAGCACCACAACGGGUGGAGCCUGCGGUUUAAUUGGACUCAACGCCGGAAAUCUCACCGGAUAGGACAGACAUAUGAUAGUCGGGCUGAAGACUCUACUUGAUGAUCUGAGAGGUGGUGCAUGGCGUCAGUGACU
This 261-nucleotide ribosomal RNA is filed under the name uncultured archaeon. RNAcentral describes it as "partial 16S ribosomal RNA". It matches the Rfam family "Archaeal small subunit ribosomal RNA", at positions 748 to 1008 of the family's 1478-position model. The record is from RNAcentral.